RNAcentral lists this ribosomal RNA (119 nucleotides) under Cercocebus atys (sooty mangabey). Lineage: Eukaryota; Metazoa; Chordata; Mammalia; Primates; Cercopithecidae. The record is from RNAcentral.
GUCUACAGCCAUACCACACUGAACACGCCCUAUCUUGUCUGAUUUUGGAAGCUAAGCAGGGUACGGUCUGGUAAGUAUUUGGAUGGGAGACCACCUGGGAAUACUGGUCGCUGUAGGUG